Molecule: long non-coding RNA, 711 nt
Filed under: Numida meleagris (helmeted guineafowl)
Lineage: Eukaryota; Metazoa; Chordata; Aves; Galliformes; Numididae
Description: lncRNA (ENSNMEG00000002821.1)
Source: RNAcentral
GGAAUGAAGAGCUCAGAACCCAUUCUGUGAUUUCUAUCAGUGAUUAACAACUGAGUGCGAGCAGCUGGGGUGGGUGCCUGAAAGGUGAGCCAAAAGUGAGAGACAGAGGAGAAUUCCUAGCUGUAGAAACUGAAGGAACCUCCCAUGGUAGUGAUUUGAGAUGCACACAUCAGGGAGAAGAUAGCUGGCUUCUACUGUGAACCAGGUGUGAUACAGAAAGCCUUGAUGCUCAGCUGGGCAUUGCUGCGAUUGGGGGACCUUGCACACCUGAGGCAGCACAGCUGUUUUCACUUGGCCUGACUGCAGGAGGUGAUAAGAAGGGAAGCUGAGAUCCGUUUUGGACAGGAUGAAAGGAGGCAAGGGAGGAAGAAAUGGUGCUCAUUUUUAAGAUUUCCUUACAAUGCCGGUUGUAGCAGAAAUGGUCUCUUCUGCCUUCUGAGGUGUAUGUACAGCCUUUAAGAAAUGAAGUGGAACCAAAAUGAAAUAGUGAGCGCCCUAGCUAUUGAAAUCCGCUCAUUCACAUUGCAGAGACAAGGAUUAUUCCAUGAAAAGAAACAAGAUCUCAAUGAGAUGUGGGAGUUUGGAUAUCCUUCCCUGCUCAGGAGCUGCAGAUGGUCCCUCCACCAGGACCGAGCACCUCCUGCAGCGCUUCAGCCUGGCUUCUCCUCUUCUGGGGAGGCCACGUCCCUGUUGUUGACGUCUGUUUGCUAA